UACGUAGGGUGCAAGCGUUAAUCGGAAUUACUGGGCGUAAAGCGUGCGCAGGCGGUUGUGCAAGACAGGUGUGAAAUCCCCGGGCUUAACCUGGGAACUGCAUUUGUGACUGCACAGCUGGAGUACGGCAGAGGGGGAUGGAAUUCCGCGUGUAGCAGUGAAAUGCGUAGAUAUGCGGAGGAACACCGAUGGCGAAGGCAGUCCCCUGGGCCUGUACUGACGCUCAUGCACGAAAGCGUGGGGAGCAAACAGG
This 253-nucleotide ribosomal RNA is filed under the name uncultured bacterium. RNAcentral's name for it is "partial 16S ribosomal RNA". It matches the Rfam family "Bacterial small subunit ribosomal RNA", at positions 524 to 776 of the family's 1533-position model. The record is from RNAcentral.